CCUGCUCAAUGUUAUAUAAAUAGCCGCAGUUUUCUGUGCUAAGGUAGCAUAAUAAAUUGUCUUUUAAUUAAAGAAUAGAAUGAAGGAUGUACGAAUUAUUAACUUUUCCAUUUAUAAUAAAUAAAAUUGAUUCUAAUGUAAAAACCCAUUAAUAUGAAGAAAAGACGACAAGACCCUAUUGAACUUGACUUAGAGUUAAGCUGGGGUGGCUAACAAAUGAAAACUUAAAUUUUUAAUUAAAAACAAACUAUAAAAAUAAGUAAAACAAGUUACCACAGGGAUAACAGCACAAUAAAAUACAAAAGUUCAAAUAAAAUAUUCAUUUUGUGACCUCGAUGUUGAAUUAUUAAAUCUAAUUUAAGAAAAAAUAAAUAAAGUAUGUCUGUUCGACAUUUAUAAUAAUACAU
Molecule: ribosomal RNA, 407 nt
Filed under: Psiloderces suthepensis
Lineage: Eukaryota; Metazoa; Arthropoda; Arachnida; Araneae; Ochyroceratidae
Description: partial 16S ribosomal RNA
Source: RNAcentral